GGGCAUGGCGCAGCUACACAUGCAGUCGAACGGUAACAGGAAGCAGCUUGCUGCUUCGCUGACGAGUGGCGGACGGGUGAGUAAUGUCUGGGAAACUGCCUGAUGGAGGGGGAUAACUACUGGAAACGGUAGCUAAUACCGCAUAACGUCGCAAGACCAAAGAGGGGGACCUUCGGGCCUCUUGCCAUCGGAUGUGCCCAGAUGGGAUUAGCUAGUAGGUGGGGUAACGGCUCACCUAGGCGACGAUCCCUAGCUGGUCUGAGAGGAUGACCAGCCACACUGGAACUGAGACACGGUCCAGACUCCUACGGGAGGCAGCAGUGGGGAAUAUUGCACAAUGGGCGCAAGCCUGAUGCAGCCAUGCCGCGUGUAUGAAGAAGGCCUUCGGGUUGUAAAGUACUUUCAGCGGGGAGGAAGGCGACAGGGUUAAUAACCCUGUCGAUUGACGUUACCCGCAGAAGAAGCACCGGCUAACUCCGUGCCAGCAGCCGCGGUAAUACGGAGGGUGCAAGCGUUAAUCGGAAUUACUGGGCGUAAAGCGCACGCAGGCGGUCUGUCAAGUCGGAUGUGAAAUCCCCGGGCUCAACCUGGGAACUGCAUUCGAAACUGGCAGGCUAGAGUCUUGUAGAGGGGGGUAGAAUUCCAGGUGUAGCGGUGAAAUGCGUAGAGAUCUGGAGGAAUACCGGUGGCGAAGGCGGCCCCCUGGACAAAGACUGACGCUCAGGUGCGAAAGCGUGGGGAGCAAACAGGAUUAGAUACCCUGGUAGUCCACGCCGUAAACGAUGUCGACUUGGAGGUUGUGCCCUUGAGGCGUGGCUUCCGGAGCUAACGCGUUAAGUCGACCGCCUGGGGAGUACGGCCGCAAGGUUAAAACUCAAAUGAAUUGACGGGGGCCCGCACAAGCGGUGGAGCAUGUGGUUUAAUUCGAUGCAACGCGAAGAACCUUACCUCUCUUGACAUCCGGAGAACUUACCAGAAAUGCUUUGGUGCCUUCGGGAACUCUGAGACAGGUGCUGCAUGGCUGUCGUCAGCUCGUGUUGUGAAAUGUUGGGGUUAAGUCCCGCAACGAGCGCAACCCUUAUCCUUUGUUGCCGGCGGUUAGGCCGGGAACUCAAAGGAAACUGCCAUUGAUAAACUGGAGGAAAGGUGGGGGAUGAAGGUCAGGUCAUCAAGGGCCCUUACGAGUAGGGGCUAACACCCUGGUUACAAUGGCGCCAACAAAAAGAAACCGACUCUCGCGAGACAACCGGGACCCAAAAAGUGCGUCCGUAUUCCCGAAUGGAAGUCGGCAAC
RNAcentral lists this ribosomal RNA (1293 nucleotides) under Enterobacter sp. Its description in RNAcentral is "bacterial SSU rRNA". It matches the Rfam family "Bacterial small subunit ribosomal RNA", at positions 40 to 1311 of the family's 1533-position model. Lineage: Bacteria; Pseudomonadati; Pseudomonadota; Gammaproteobacteria; Enterobacterales; Enterobacteriaceae. The record is from RNAcentral.